Molecule: unclassified non-coding RNA, 322 nt
Filed under: Hevea brasiliensis (rubber tree)
Lineage: Eukaryota; Viridiplantae; Streptophyta; Magnoliopsida; Malpighiales; Euphorbiaceae
Source: RNAcentral
GGAGGAUGAUGUCUGAGUGGGUAAGGUAGAAGCCAUCAGUUGGGUGGUAGAAAGGGUUGUUAUCUAAUUGGUUCGUGUAGGAUUUGAGAUCUGGCAAGUAGUCAGUUAAAUGGGGAGGUUUUUGGAGUUUAAAUGGGCAAGAUGAAAAGGAUUCUUCUGAAUUUUGGGUGGUAGUAGUGGGAUUGGUGGAUUCGGGCAAAGAAACCGCCAUGUCUACGGCGGCGAAGUAGCACUGUGGGGAUGAAGACAAUAAGUAUGAGAGAGUAGGCGUAAUUACCAUCAAAGGGAGGGAACGUGGCGGGCCAGAGGAUGGAAACGUGGA